UACGGGGGGGGCAAGCGUUGUUCGGAAUUACUGGGCGUAAAGGGCGCGUAGGCGGCCAACUAAGUCAGACGUGAAAUCCCUCGGCUUAACCGGGGAACUGCGUCUGAUACUGGUUGGCUUGAAUCCGGGAGAGGGAUGUGGAAUUCCAGGUGUAGCGGUGAAAUGCGUAGAUAUCUGGAGGAACACCGGUGGCGAAGGCGGCAUCCUGGACCGGUAUUGACGCUGAGGCACGAAAGCGUGGGGAGCAAACAGG
This 253-nucleotide ribosomal RNA is filed under the name uncultured bacterium. RNAcentral describes it as "partial 16S ribosomal RNA". It matches the Rfam family "Bacterial small subunit ribosomal RNA", at positions 524 to 776 of the family's 1533-position model. The record is from RNAcentral.